UACAGAGGGUGCGAGCGUUAAUCGGAAUUACUGGGCGUAAAGAGCGUGUAGGCGGCUUUACAGGUCCGUUGUGAAAACUCGAGGCUCAACCUCGAGACGCCGGUGGAAACCGUAAGGCUAGAGUCCGGAAGAGGAGAGUGGAAUUCCUGGUGCAGCGGUGAAAUGCGCAGAUAUCAGGAGGAACACCCGUGGCGAAAGCGGCUCUCUGGGACGGUACUGACGCUGAGGCGCGAAAGCUAGGGUAGCAAACGGG
RNAcentral lists this ribosomal RNA (253 nucleotides) under uncultured bacterium. RNAcentral describes it as "partial 16S ribosomal RNA". It matches the Rfam family "Bacterial small subunit ribosomal RNA", at positions 524 to 776 of the family's 1533-position model. The record is from RNAcentral.